RNAcentral lists this ribosomal RNA (463 nucleotides) under uncultured Alphaproteobacteria bacterium. RNAcentral's name for it is "bacterial SSU rRNA". It matches the Rfam family "Bacterial small subunit ribosomal RNA", at positions 9 to 517 of the family's 1533-position model. The record is from RNAcentral. Lineage: Bacteria; Pseudomonadati; Pseudomonadota; Alphaproteobacteria.
GAGUUUGAUCUUGGCUCAGAACGAACGCUGGCGGCAGGCCUAACACAUGCAAGUCGAGCGCUGUAGCAAUACAGAGCGGCGCACGGGUGAGUAACACGUGGGAACGUGCCCUUUGGUUCGGAAUAACUCAGGGAAACUUGAGCUAAUACCGGAUGAGCCCUAACGGGGAAAGAUUUAUCGCCGAAGGAGCGGCCCGCGGUUGGAUUAGCUAGUUGGUGGGGUAAAAGCCUACCAAGGCAACGAUCCAUAGCUGGUUUGAGAGAACGACCAGCCACACUGGGACUGAGACACGGCCCAGACUCCUACGGGAGGCAGCAGUGGGGAAUCUUGGACAAUGGGGGAAACCCUGAUCCAGCCAUGCCGCGUGAGUGAUGAAGGCCCUAGGGUUGUAAAACUCUUUCGGCGGGGACGAUAAUGACGGUACCCGCAGAAGAAGCUCCGGCUAACUUCGUGCCAGCAGCCG